Non-coding RNA from Mycena galopus ATCC 62051, 95 nucleotides. Lineage: Eukaryota; Fungi; Basidiomycota; Agaricomycetes; Agaricales; Mycenaceae. The record is from the annotation of a GenBank genome assembly.
GCCUUCAUGGAUCAUGGAGAUCACCUCGACUUCGUAUAAAAAUCCCAGUUGCAACAAUUAUCGAGGAGGCGGAGGUUCGAUUCCUCUUGGAGGCG